UCCCAGCAGUCCGAGUCGUGGCCACAUUUAUUAGGUUUAAAACAUCCGUAGCUGGUUUUGUAAGUUCUUUGUGAAAUCCUGGCACUUAAUGCCAGGGCGGGCAAGGGAGACUGCAAGACUUGAGACCGGGAGACGCAAUGGGUACGUUCAAGGUAGCGGUAAAAUGUUUUAAUCUUGGGCGGACCGACAAUGGCGAAGGCACGUUGCGAGAACGGAUCUGACAGUGAGGGAUGAAGGCCUGGGGC
This 245-nucleotide ribosomal RNA is filed under the name uncultured archaeon. Its description in RNAcentral is "partial 16S ribosomal RNA". It matches the Rfam family "Archaeal small subunit ribosomal RNA", at positions 474 to 718 of the family's 1478-position model. The record is from RNAcentral.